Molecule: transfer RNA, 77 nt
Filed under: Escherichia coli
Lineage: Bacteria; Pseudomonadati; Pseudomonadota; Gammaproteobacteria; Enterobacterales; Enterobacteriaceae
Also listed under: 1 other name
Description: tRNA-Pro
Rfam family: tRNA
About the family: Transfer RNA (tRNA) molecules are approximately 80 nucleotides in length. Their secondary structure includes four short double-helical elements and three loops (D, anti-codon, and T loops).
Source: RNAcentral
UCGGCACGUAGCGCAGCCUGGUAGCGCACCGUCAUGGGGUGUCGGGGGUCGGAGGUUCAAAUCCUCUCGUGCCGACC